UGGACCAGAUAUCUAGGGCGCACGGCGGAUGCCUUGGCACAGGAAGUCGACGAAGGACGCGGCAAGCUGCGAUAAGCCCCGGGGAGUGGCAAACACACCUUGAUCCGGGGAUCUCCGAAUGGGGGAACCCAGCAGGGGUCAUGCCCUGCUACCCACGCCUGAAUCAACUAGGGCGCAGGGAGGCAACCGGGGGAACUGAAACAUCUAAGUACCCCGAGGAAGAGAAAUCAACCG
RNAcentral lists this ribosomal RNA (234 nucleotides) under Adlercreutzia equolifaciens. Its description in RNAcentral is "partial 23S ribosomal RNA". It matches the Rfam family "Bacterial large subunit ribosomal RNA", at positions 1 to 231 of the family's 2925-position model. The record is from RNAcentral. Lineage: Bacteria; Bacillati; Actinomycetota; Coriobacteriia; Eggerthellales; Eggerthellaceae.